Molecule: ribosomal RNA, 462 nt
Filed under: Comamonadaceae bacterium
Lineage: Bacteria; Pseudomonadati; Pseudomonadota; Betaproteobacteria; Burkholderiales; Comamonadaceae
Description: bacterial SSU rRNA
Rfam family: Bacterial small subunit ribosomal RNA
Source: RNAcentral
GUGCAGGAUGAAGGCCUUCGGGUUGUAAACUGCUUUUGUACGGAACGAAACGGUGAGCUCUAAUACAGUUUGCUAAUGACGGUACCGUAAGAAUAAGCACCGGCUAACUACGUGCCAGCAGCCGCGGUAAUACGUAGGGUGCGAGCGUUAAUCGGAAUUACUGGGCGUAAAGCGUGCGCAGGCGGUGAUGUAAGACAGAUGUGAAAUGCCCGGGCUCAACCUGGGACCUGCAUUUGUGACUGCAUCGCUAGAGUACGGUAGAGGGGGAUGGAAUUCCGCGUGUAGCAGUGAAAUGCGUAGAUAUGCGGAGGAACACCGAUGGCGAAGGCAAUCCCCUGGACCUGUACUGACGCUCAUGCACGAAAGCGUGGGGAGCAAACAGGAUUAGAUACCCUGGUAGUCCACGCCCUAAACGAUGUCAACUGGUUGUUGGGUCUUCACUGACUCAGUAACGAAGCUAAC